AGGCUUGUGACCCCCUGCUUCAGCUGGCACUGACCUAGAAUGAACUCCUGGAUCUGAUCAAAGGAUUCGAAGCGAACAGCUGCUGACACACACCUGCUCGUCAAACGUGUACAGGAGCUGUUGGAGAGAACACACACGGCCGCACAGGGACGGGUGUGCAGAGCCUGUGAUCUGUUGCUGAGGACGUUGUGGACCCAGUAGAUGAGGAGUGGCGGGAUCUUGAGGUGGUGGAGUUCCUUUAUCAUCUGGUGGCAUUGAAUGCAUCUGUGACUACAUAUUAAUUUUAAACACCAAACAGGUCCUAAAAUCUUUAUGUGUGUUUAUUGGCUGGCUGCCUUUUUAGUCAUCUUUCCUGUCAUAAACUAAUUCAACCGUUUGCCUGAUGGCACACAGGUACAGACUGCCAGUCCAACAGUGUCAUUACAUUGCAGUAAUAAAUGUCUCACAAUUGACAUGAUGAUAAGUUUGUAUGGAUGCUUAGUGUUGUACCAAUCACUAUUUCAUGUAUGAUAUGUCAUUCUUGGUGGGCCUUGCA
Thunnus maccoyii (southern bluefin tuna) is the source of this 535-nucleotide long non-coding RNA. RefSeq lists it as uncharacterized. Lineage: Eukaryota; Metazoa; Chordata; Actinopteri; Scombriformes; Scombridae. The record is from RefSeq and is a predicted model, not a curated record. The transcript is spliced from 3 exons.